This 226-nucleotide ribosomal RNA is filed under the name uncultured bacterium. RNAcentral's name for it is "partial 16S ribosomal RNA". It matches the Rfam family "Bacterial small subunit ribosomal RNA", at positions 538 to 763 of the family's 1533-position model. The record is from RNAcentral.
GCGUUGUUCGGAUUCAUUGGGCGUAAAGGGUGCGUAGGUGGCGAGGCAAGUCGGAUGUGAAAUCCCGGGGCUCAACCCCGGAACUGCAUUCGAUACUGCUUUGCUAGAGUACUGGAGAGGAGAUUGGAAUUUACGGUGUAGCAGUGAAAUGCGUAGAUAUCGUAAGGAAGACCAGUGGCGAAGGCGGAUCUCUGGACAGUUACUGACACUGAGGCACGAAGGCCAG